Molecule: long non-coding RNA, 514 nt
Filed under: Mytilus galloprovincialis (Mediterranean mussel)
Lineage: Eukaryota; Metazoa; Mollusca; Bivalvia; Mytilida; Mytilidae
Source: RNAcentral
AUAAGCUUCUUUUAUUGGAUAAAAAGGGGCCACAUGACAUUCAUUAUUCUUCAGUAAUAAAUUCAAUCGGUCAUUAACAGAACAAAACGGACCAGAAAACCGGUCGUUAACAAACUUUUACAUGACAAUGACCGUUGGGGCAUGGUUUCCGUCUGAUAAUAACCGUUGGGGCGUGUUUUCAGUUUUAUAAUGACCGUUGGGGCGUGGUUUCUCUGUUAAUGACCGGUGGGGCGUGGUUUCGCUGUUUAGAAGAGAGAUUUUCCUGUUUUCAAUAUUAUAUGUAAGUUGUUGAAUUGUUUAUUAUAGAGUAUUUAUAUAUGUACUGAACAAUUGCACUAAAAUGAAUGGCACUGUUACUACGACUGGUCUUCACUCUUUGUCAUAGAAAUAAUACAACUAAUCAAAUUUGCUUUAGGUAUUUUGAAAUUAUGCGAAUUUUCCAAAACAUGGUUUCUCAAUGAAAUAAACAUAAUAGUUCUUGAAAACUGGUAAUUAUCGUGAUACACGGACUGCC